GGAGAGGUGUCCGAGCGGUUGAAGGAGCCGGUCUCGAAAAUCGGUAGGCCCUUCUGGGGUCUCGUGGGUUCGAAUCCCACCCUCUCCG
This 88-nucleotide transfer RNA is filed under the name Gemmatimonadota bacterium. RNAcentral describes it as "Gemmatimonadetes bacterium tRNA-Ser". It matches the Rfam family "tRNA". Rfam says of the family: Transfer RNA (tRNA) molecules are approximately 80 nucleotides in length. Their secondary structure includes four short double-helical elements and three loops (D, anti-codon, and T loops). The record is from RNAcentral. Lineage: Bacteria; Pseudomonadati; Gemmatimonadota. RNAcentral also lists the same sequence under 1 other name.